Molecule: RNA transcript, 2443 nt
Organism: Magnolia sinica
Lineage: Eukaryota; Viridiplantae; Streptophyta; Magnoliopsida; Magnoliales; Magnoliaceae
Gene name: kinesin-like protein KIN-UB
Exons: 4
Source: RefSeq, a predicted model, not a curated record
CUUAACUCAUGCUCCAACCAGCAUUGCUCAGUCAGUGAAUGUGGAUGGUCCAUCUGGUGGGAUCGACAACUUGUUUCUCUUCUCAGUAAAGGAUGAGAAGGAGCUGCUGCUGCUGCUGCUGCUGCUGAUGGUCUUGAAACGAGGGUUGCAGAUGGGAAAAAGGUGGGCCGUACUAGAAUCGUAGCCAUUCGAUGCUUUAGCUGACUACUCCUCAUGAUAGAUGUGUGUAGAGUCGGGCUGACCCUUUUGAAUUCUUUAAAAAAAUGCUAUAUCUCUCUCAUUAUUAGUUAUCUUUAUGCUUUUCUGUGAUCUAGACCAUUGGUAUGAUGGGCCACACGCUGCAUUGCUUGAUUCAUGACAAAUGUGUUGGGAUUUUCGAUGCGAUGCAGAUGUUCAGAUCUAUACAGAUGGAGAGAUUUCAUGAUGUGGUCUCUCUUCAUAUAGGCUCUUGAUCACUUGGUUGUGUAGAAAGGGGAAGCUGGUUGAAGCAUACAUGGUGUUCGACGAAAUGCUCAAGAGAGGGAUAAGUGCUGAUAAUGCAACAUUAGCUGCUUUGGUUUAUGGAGGGGAUAAGAGAGCCUGAUGUGGGUGUUUACCUUGGGCUGAUCAAGGGUCUGUUUAAGCUUAGGAAGGCAAAAGAAGACACCCACGUGUUUAGAAUAGUACUUGUUUAGCCUAUGUUACUCUAUCGAUGCCGUGUCUCAUAGGUUUUGGCUCUUUCAUGAAUUUAGUAUUUUGCUGCUACACUAGUAUAUCUUGUCCUGAUUUUAUUAUUGUUCAAUUUCUAUAGGCUGAGACUCAACAACAUGGGACUGAAGAGCUACAAGGCAUUAAACAAAUACGGGUUUAAUAUUUUGGACCAGAGUUUGCAUCUAAUUGCUGACAAUUAUCAUGAGUUGGAAGUGUUCAAUUUGAUGAGGCAGCUGGAAAUGCUGAGAUUUUAAAGCUCUGUAAUAUGCUGGAAGAUGAAGCCCAUCAGAAAGAAAAACUUGAAGAAGAAAUUGCAGUACUGAAAAAUCAGUUGUUGCAAUUGAGCAUUGAAGCUGAUGAGGGCCCAGUAUCUGUUGCAGAGGAAAUUGCUGAAGUCAACCAGUUGCUUCAAAAUGAAAUCCAUUUAAGAAAGGCUGCUGAAGAGGAGGCCAACAAUCUUAAAAGCCAACUGGUGCAGUUGAAAAAAUCAGAGGUAUGGUUACUCAUCAAUGAAUGUGUAGCUUCUUUGUCAUCAUGCAUGGCUGGCUCUGGUAUUCAUGAGCCUGGUUUGUCUAAUAUCACAAGUGGAGGCCAUCCCUUUAGUGGAAGACCACUAACACCUUGGUUCAAUCCUAAAUAGAAGAUGAAAAAAAAUAAUUAAAGUUUAGGAUUCAUUCUCAACGAUUGAGCAUUUGUGCAUAUACAUAUGAUGUCUUGUGCUCACAUGUGCUAAGUCUAAGUCAUUGAGUGGUGCUGCCCACAAUAACAUGCUGAUGACAAAAAAAAAACAAAGAAACCCAUGUGCUUUUUUAUUUUAUUUUCUUUUUUCCUGCAAGGGUGUUCGAAGGUUUGAAAACCAAAUAAAUUUGGUGUAAUUCCUGUCCCUGGGUGUAAUUUUUCUACCGUUUGUGCACUAUAAGUGGUCCACCAGAUGGAUGAUCCAGAUGCACCAAUUGCUCUCUUUGACUACACUACAGGGUUUCAUCAUUGUCGUACUUUUAUGUAGAGUUAUUCUAUUUUUUGGACUCGAUGGAAUCAAUUGCCAUGGCUUAUUAUGUCAUUGGCUUUGAUCCAUAUGUUGGAAGGUGAAACCUCUAGAUCAUGUAACAACAUAUUUCAAGGCCAUGUUCAAUUGGCCGUCUUUCAUUGGCACCUGGAAAUAACUGCAAAAUGGACUCGUGUCUUACGUCAAUUAAUUUCAUGGCCUUUUGUUUGUAAUCUGUAGGAUUAUUUCUCAAGAAGACAGAAGAUGGUGAUAAAUCUCAAAUAUAUAGGUCUGUAGCCAAAAGAAUUAGUUUCUUUCUCCUGGGAUAUUUAACAAAAAUUAUGAUAAGUGAGCUGAUUUAAUUCCGUGAUGGUUUUGCGGAUUCAACAUAUAUGAUCUGGGCUAUUCCAAUCAAUGCAUCAAAUAACGUAUGUUGCACGCUCCUUGCUCAGAGUGCUGUUCAUGGUGCAAUGGCUGGAUACACAGGCUUCACUGUGGGACUUGUUAAUGGCAGACAUACUUAUAUACCUUUCCUUGUAAGUUCCAUUAACACAGUUGUUUCCAUUUCAGGUUUUGAUCAGUGAACAACAUGGAUUGAGAUAUCCAUAGUGUAUUAGCCAAUACAGCCAUGUUGGCUCAAUAUGAUAUGUAAUACAGGUUCGUAUAGGUCCCAGUGAAAAACUGGGCCGUAUCAGGCUGUAUUGGCUGUACAGGCAUAUUUGCAUUGUUAUAGGCCGAUACAGCCAUAAAGGCCCAACUUCGAUUUUU